RNAcentral lists this ribosomal RNA (93 nucleotides) under Bacillus sp. TH23. Lineage: Bacteria; Bacillati; Bacillota; Bacilli; Caryophanales; Bacillaceae. The record is from RNAcentral.
UCUGGUAAUGAUGGCAGAGAGGUCACACCCGUUCCCAUACCGAACACGGAAGUUAAGCUCUCUAGCGCCGAUGGUAGUUGGGACCUUGUCCCU